AUGAGUUUGGAAAUGUUGUUUUACCCAAUCUUGAAUGCUAGUGGGAAGCCUUGUAAACCUGGAGCUGUCCUAAGUCUUUCAAUUCAGUACACUCCAGUUGAGAGAUUGAGCAUUUACCAUAAUGGAGUUGGGGUAGGCCAUGAUUACUAUGGGGUUCCUGGCACCUAUUUUCCUCUUAGGACUGGUGGAAAGGUUACUCUUUACCAAGAUGCUCACAUACCAGACGGUUGUCUUCCGAAGCUGAUUUCAGAUGGAGGGAUGCCAUAUGUGCAUGGGAAGUGUUGGAAUGACAUAUUUGAUGCAAUACGUCAAGCAUGUUGUUUGAUUUACAUUGCUGGGUGGUCAGUUUGGCACAAUGUCAAACUGGUUCGGGAUGGUGGUGCUGCAUCAAAUGUUACCAUAGAACAGUAAGUACCUUUCACUUUUUAAAGAUCCAAGUCCCAGGGAGGAGUGAGAGUGCUGCAGCUUGUUUGGGAUGACCCCACUUCAAGGAGCAUUUUUGGGCUAUAGAACAGAGGGAAUCAUGCAAACCCAUGAUGAGGAAAUUCGGUGGUUUUUCAGCACUCUUCGGUGCAAGUAUUGCUUUGCCCCCGCACUGCUGGAAAAUGACAUAUCUGGGUUAAGCAAAGGGAAGUUGGGAUGAUCUAUACACACCAUCAGAAAACAGUAAUUGUGGAUGCUGAUGCUGGCCAUAAUAAGAGGAGAAUCCUAGCUUUUGUUGGAGGUCUUGACUUAUGUGAUGGGCGAUAUGAUACUCCAAACCAUGAACUAUUUAAGACGUUGAAGACAGCGCAUAAAGACGACUACACGCACUUGACCACUUGUUGUCCAAGAGAGCCAUGGCAUGAUUUGCACUCUAGGCUUGAUGGUCCAGCAGCAUAUGUUGUUCUGAACUUUGAGGAGCGCUGGUUAAAGGCUUCAAAACCACAAGGGAUGAAGAAACUGAAAAAAAGCACCUACAAUGAUUCUUUGCUCAAGUUGGAAAGGAUUCCAGACAUAAUUGGAGCAUCCCAUGAGGCUUCCACUAGUGACUACAAUCCAGAAACUUGACAUGUUCAGAUCUUCCGUUCGAUUGAUUCAAACUCUGUUAAAGGUUUCCUAAAGGAUCCAAAAGAAGCAACAAGCACGAAUCUGGUGUGCCGAAAGAAUGUGCUGAUUGACAUGACUCGACAUGAGCAUACAUACAGCAUAUGUGAAGGCCAUCCGUGCUGCUCAGUAUUUCUUAUAUAUAGAGAAUCAAUAUAUUAUUGGGUCUUCAUACAAUUGGAGUCAAUAUAAAGACUUAGGUGCGAAUAAUUUGAUUCCCAUGGAAAUUGCCAUUAAGAUUGCUGAAAAAAUCAGAGCAAACCAGAGAUUCGCUGCGUAUUUUGUUAUUCUAAUGUGUCCAGAAGGUGUUCCAACUGGUGCAGCAACACAAAGAAUUCUAUUUUGGCAGGCAUUUAGUCAAAAAAGCAGGCAAUUUAUGAUUUAUGUUCAUUUGAAAGGUAUGAUAGUCGAUGACAAGUUGGUAAUACUGGGUUCCGCGCAUAUCAAUCAGCGCUCUAUGGAAGGGACGAUAGACACUGAAAUGGCAAUGGGGUCCUACCAACCUCAUCAUGCAUGGGCAAGAAAUCAUUGUAGUCCUCUCGGGACAGAUAUUUGGAUAUAGAAUGUCACUGUGGGCAGAGCACACAGGAACCAUUGAGGACUGUUUUAGAGAACCAGUCUUGAAUGUGUUAGGAGAGUUAGAGCAAUGGGUGAGUUGAACUGGAAACAAUUUGCUGCUGAGGAGGUUACAGAGAUGAGGGGUCAUCUAUUGAAGUAUCCAGUUGAAAUUGAUCGAAAAGGCAAAGUCACAUCCCUUCCUGGAUGUGAGAGUUUCCCCGAUGCAGGAGGAAAUAUAACCGGUUCUUUCCUUGGCAUUCAAGAAAAUUUGACAAUUUGAUCACCAGUUCAGUUUUAUAGAACUCAGUUAGUACAGUUUUGAAACGUUUCUUUUGUUGUAUUUAGCAAACCCAUAGUAGGAUAGGGUUCUGUUUUAUUCGAUAAGGAUGUAGGCGCUUUUA
Fragaria vesca subsp. vesca is the source of this 2045-nucleotide RNA transcript. It is a transcript of the gene named phospholipase D gamma 1-like, with no coding region annotated. The record is from RefSeq and is a predicted model, not a curated record. NCBI's taxonomy places the organism in Eukaryota, Viridiplantae, Streptophyta, Magnoliopsida, Rosales, Rosaceae. The transcript is spliced from 10 exons.